CUACGGGGUGCUGCAGUCGAGAAUCUUCCGCAAUGGACGAAAGUCUGACGGAGCGACGCCGCGUGCGGGAUGAAGGCCUUCGGGUUGUAAACCGCUGUCAGUGGGGAGGAAAUGCAUCAGGGUUCUCCCUGGUGUUUGACCGAUCCGCAGAGGAAGCGCAGGCUAAGUUCGUGCCAGCAGCCGCGGUAACACGAACUGCGCGAACGUUAUUCGGAAUCACUGGGCUUAAAGAGUUCGUAGGCGGCCUUUCAAGUCGGGUGUGAAAUCCCUCGGCUCAACCGAGGAAUUGCGCCUGAUACUGUUGGGCUUGAGGGGGAUAGGGGUGAGCGGAACUGAUGGUGGAGCGGUGAAAUGCGUUGAUAUCAUCAGGAACACCGGUGGCGAAGGCGGCUCACUGGAUCUCUUCUGACGCUGAGGAACGAAAGCUAGGGGAGCGAACGGGAUUAGAUACCCUUGUAGUC
RNAcentral lists this ribosomal RNA (461 nucleotides) under uncultured bacterium. RNAcentral's name for it is "partial 16S ribosomal RNA". It matches the Rfam family "Bacterial small subunit ribosomal RNA", at positions 339 to 795 of the family's 1533-position model. The record is from RNAcentral.